This 1908-nucleotide long non-coding RNA is filed under the name Mus pahari (shrew mouse). Its description in RNAcentral is "RIKEN cDNA 4921521D15 gene (MGP_PahariEiJ_G0005791.1)". The record is from RNAcentral. Lineage: Eukaryota; Metazoa; Chordata; Mammalia; Rodentia; Muridae.
AUUGCCGUGAGGACCAACGUGAAGCCAUGAAAAUGGUUCCGUGCGUCUUUCCUUCUCCAGGAGAAUAUGGAAACCUAAUAGUGAAGCCACCCUGGUGAGAGCAGAGAUCAAGAUUCAAAGAUGCCAUCCUGAGACUUCUUUGAAACCCUGGGGUCCCUUUCUGUUUAGCUUGAUUGGGAAAUUUGUAAUUCUGAGACUAUCAUUAGACUUACUUGGUGAAGAAUGCUCAGGCUGAACUGAAAACUAUGAAGCCACUGCUCUAGAAAGAAAAUACAUUUGGUUGUGCUAUAUUAUUUAAAUUUGAGCAGAAGUAUGCUGCAUCAGAUCUUCAUUUAAACCAUAGGAAAUGAAUACUGAAUUCUAAUACCUCUGCUGGAGAAGAACACAGAGAGACAGUAUUCAACUUUACAUUAUUGACUUGCACAUGGGCCUUUUCUUUUGGAGAUGAGGAGUUCAACUAGUUAGAACCACCUCAAUUAGAUGAUGUAUUCAUCACUGGGAUCAGAAAUGAUUUUCUGUUUAAUUUCAAACUCUUUCCAAGCAACUCUAAAAAAACGCAGACAAUAUUAUCGACUUUAUUUUGCACAUCAUGAGAGAGAAACCAGUAUAAAGCUAAGAAUUAAUCACCUUUUAAGAGAGAAUUCUCAGAGUUGAGGUCAAAGCGAACAUUUCAGUGUGACCAGGCAGCCAGAGAAGGGUUCCUAAGAUUGUAAGAGGCAUCUAGUUCAAAGGCAUUUGAGGCAUUUCUCUUUGGAAAUGUGACUAUACUCUCUCCAGUCUGACUACUUAUCUUCCCAGGCAAUCUCUCCUCCUUACAAACACUCAUGAUACUAUCACAACCUGAUAUAACCACUGAUUUAUCAGGCUGAGCCUUAGGUUUUAGACUUCCAACCUUCAAGAUUAUAAAAGAUGUAUACUGGGCAUGUCAAAUUUACAUAUAUCCAACCUCAGAUUUUUUUGCAACAGUAGAAAACAAUCUAAUAUAAUAAUCAUAUAUAUAUAUAUAUAUAUAUAUAUAUAUGAAUAUAAAAUAAUUAAAUAAGCCUUUAAUAUCACCAGAGAAGUUGUUAAAUAUUCUCCCAUUUCACCAACCUACAGAAGUUAGUCCUUUCUUUUGGGUGGAGGUAAACAUCAUUAAAAUGUCAGUUGAGGCAAGGAAACCAAUGAUGUUUUUCUAUAUAAUACUGAGAAUAGAUUAUUCAUUUUAUAGAUAAAUAAUGAAAAAUGGACGUAAUUUGUUUUUCAAUUUGACAUGCCCAAUAUAUUGUUUUGGUGAAAAAAAAAAACUACUUAAAUUUCAAAAGAGCAACUCUGAUUGACUUCUGAAUACUAAAACUCAUGCUGCCACCAACGUCUCACGUAGAUAGGAGUGGUGGGCACUUCAUGGGCAUCCCUAGAGCACAAUAAGGAGAGUGCUGUGUGCAGCUGAGCUCUCACUUUCAAGAAACAUGAUAGCAGGCAUCAGCUUAAUGGCACAGAGUGUCCAGAGCUCUUGUCCCAUGAGUCAGGAAAUGGAUGCACCCAGGGUACCUGGGAGGGAGUGUUUCCUCCCUGCCCUUUGCAGAAUCUCUCCUAGUGUUUUCUUUGGGGAAGAGAUGCUUGAAAGAUACAUCAAAAGGGCUUGUUCACAAUAGAUUCUUAAUUGUGGAAAAACAUACAAACAUUGUGUUUAUGUGGUAUUAAGAUAUGAAGGCAGCAUCUUAUACACUGGGACUAGGUUUAAAAAUGGCUGUGAGAUGUCACCCGAGUUCUAGGAACUGAGCCCUGGUCUUCUGGAAGAGCUAAGACAUCUCUCCAGCCACCUACUUGGUAUCCUGAAUGCUGACUACUUAAGCCAUUUGCUGCUGCGUAAUACUAAAAGGCUGUGCAGAGGGAAUGAGCUUCCUGAUAAACUGAUAUUUCCACAUU